GCGGUCGUCGUCUAGCCUGGUCUAGGACAUCACCCUGCCACGGUGGUAACCCGGGUUCAAAUCCCGGCGACCGCA
RNAcentral lists this transfer RNA (75 nucleotides) under Candidatus Marsarchaeota G1 archaeon OSP_B. Its description in RNAcentral is "tRNA-Gly". It matches the Rfam family "tRNA". Rfam says of the family: Transfer RNA (tRNA) molecules are approximately 80 nucleotides in length. Their secondary structure includes four short double-helical elements and three loops (D, anti-codon, and T loops). Further hydrogen bonds mediate the characteristic L-shaped molecular structure. tRNAs have two regions of fundamental functional importance: the anti-codon, which is responsible for specific mRNA codon recognition, and the 3' end, to which the tRNAs corresponding amino acid is attached (by aminoacyl-tRNA synthetases). tRNAs cope with the degeneracy of the genetic code in two manners: having more than one tRNA (with a specific anti-codon) for a particular amino acid; and 'wobble' base-pairing, i.e. permitting non-standard base-pairing at the 3rd anti-codon position. RNAcentral also lists the same sequence under 7 other names. Lineage: Archaea; Thermoproteati; Thermoproteota. The record is from RNAcentral.